Small nuclear RNA from Jaculus jaculus (lesser Egyptian jerboa), 107 nucleotides. NCBI's taxonomy places the organism in Eukaryota, Metazoa, Chordata, Mammalia, Rodentia, Dipodidae. The record is from Ensembl.
AUGCUCACUUUGGCAGCACAUAUACUAAAAUUGGAGUGUUACAGAGAAGAUUAGAAUGGCCCCUGAGCAAAGAUAACACACAAAUUUGUGAAGCUUUCCAUAUUUUA